RNAcentral lists this small RNA (1627 nucleotides) under Phormidesmis priestleyi G-38. Its description in RNAcentral is "bacterial SSU rRNA". The stretch from base 1 to 1144 matches the Rfam family "Bacterial small subunit ribosomal RNA", at positions 376 to 1533 of the family's 1533-position model. Lineage: Bacteria; Bacillati; Cyanobacteriota; Cyanophyceae; Leptolyngbyales; Leptolyngbyaceae. The record is from RNAcentral.
CGAAAGCCUGACGGAGCAAUACCGCGUGAGGGAGGAAGGCUCUUGGGUCGUAAACCUCUUUUAUCAGGGAAGAACACAAUGACGGUACCUGAUGAAUCAGCAUCGGCUAACUCCGUGCCAGCAGCCGCGGUAAUACGGAGGAUGCAAGCGUUAUCCGGAAUUAUUGGGCGUAAAGCGUCCGCAGGUGGUUUUGAAAGUUUGCUGUCAAAGCGCGAGGCUCAACUUCGUAUCGGCGGUGAAAACUUCAAGACUAGAGCUAGGUAGGGGUCACGGGAAUUCCCAGUGUAGCGGUGAAAUGCGUAGAUAUUGGGAAGAACACCAGCGGCGAAAGCGCGUGACUGGGCCUGAGCUGACACUCAUGGACGAAAGCUAGGGGAGCGAAAGGGAUUAGAUACCCCUGUAGUCCUAGCCGUAAACGAUGACAACUAGGUGUUGCCCGUAUCGACCCGGGCAGUGCCGUAGCCAACGCGUUAAGUUGUCCGCCUGGGGAGUACGCACGCAAGUGUGAAACUCAAAGGAAUUGACGGGGGCCCGCACAAGCGGUGGAGUAUGUGGUUUAAUUCGAUGCAACGCGAAGAACCUUACCAAGGCUUGACAUGUCGCGAAUCUUCUUGAAAGGGAAGAGUGCCUUCGGGAGCGCGAACACAGGUGGUGCAUGGCUGUCGUCAGCUCGUGUCGUGAGAUGUUGGGUUAAGUCCCGCAACGAGCGCAACCCUCGUUUCUAGUUGCCAUCAUUAAGUUGGGCACUUUAGAGAGACUGCCGGUGACAAACCGGAGGAAGGUGGGGAUGACGUCAAGUCAGCAUGCCCCUUACGCCUUGGGCUACACACGUACUACAAUGCUACGGACAAAGAGCCGCAAGUUCGCGAGGACAAGCAAAUCUCAUAAACCGUGGCUCAGUUCAGAUUGCAGGCUGCAACUCGCCUGCAUGAAGGCGGAAUCGCUAGUAAUCGCAGGUCAGCAUACUGCGGUGAAUACGUUCCCGGGCCUUGUACACACCGCCCGUCACACCAUGGGAGUUGGCCACGCCCGAAGUCGUUACUCCAACCGUUCGCGGAGGAGGAUGCCGAAGGCAGGGCUGAUGACUGGGGUGAAGUCGUAACAAGGUAGCCGUACCGGAAGGUGUGGCUGGAUCACCUCCUUUUAGGGAGACCUACCCAUCUAAUGGUCAAGCGUGAGAGCGCGAUGAGAUUAGAUAGGUUAACCCAAGGUCGUUGAGGAAUUGAGUGUUGGCUUCCAAGCUAUGUAAGAUUGGUUCGGGUUAUGGGCUAUUAGCUCAGGUGGUUAGAGCGCACCCCUGAUAAGGGUGAGGUCCCUGGUUCGAGUCCAGGAUGGCCCACCUUUAGAGAGAUAAGGGGGUUUAGCUCAGUUGGUAGAGCGCCUGCUUUGCAAGCAGGAUGUCAACGGUUCGAGUCCGUUAACCUCCACUGAAAGCUGAGAGCUUUCGAGACCAGAGCGAACCAAAUUUAACUUCAGCAACUCUUCUAACUUUCAGUUAGGUUUUUGAUAUUUAGAGAGCCUGCUGGAUUUAAUCCAGUCAGAACCUUGAAAACUGCAUAGAAACUUGUCAGGUAGAAAGUAGUGGUCUUUCAGUGAAUUGCUCACAAGGUAAUUCAAAGGAAGGCAC